GCCGCCAUCGAUGACCCCGGCCACGGACCUGCUCCAGCCCGGCCAUCCCCCAUGGAGGAACUGGGCCUGGAAGCACUCUUUCUGAGUUCCCCAUUGUGUGAGUCAGAGCAAGGACUGAGAGCCACGUCUCGCAGAAGACUUCCCCAGCUGAGUUGCACGCCCUUGUGCGGGUCUUUUAGAAAUCUACCAGUUGGUUUAUCAGCUUUGCGGUCCAGUAAAUGUCAGUUGCCUUCCCCAGGACUGCAGAUGCUGCAGUCCGGUGCCUGACUGCUGCGGAGAUCCCCUAAGACUCCCUUUGUGCUCCCAGUUCUGAAUCCUUCCUCCCACAACUUCCAGGUACCUCAUGCUUCCUUCCCACUGCCUCAAUGCUACCCCCAUUUUUUGCCUCAGUUGCCUUCCCUUCAGACUGCUGCUGGUGGUAGAUGGCAAUACAAUGCUGUUAUUUCCCCCCUUCUCUUUUCUUUAAAUGAUCCAAAAACAGUGAAGAAAAUGAGAAACAAACAAACCAAAAAACCGAAUGCUAUUUUUGGCAAAUGGGGGAGAUAGUUAAAAUUGCUUCCCCAAAAGGAAGAAGUGAGAUCCAGUGGGGGUGCGUUGGAGGCACGGAGAUGUGCUGUGGGUGUUCAGUCAAGACCACUUCUCAGGAGGGCAAGAGCCCUUGGCUCGGCACAAAACCCAAGUUCCUUCUAGGUCACAGGGGGAUAAGAAAGCCUGUAUCAGUGGCCAGCAUUUCCUACCAACCCAGAUGAGUCCCGUCUCUCUUUUUCUCCUCAUUAGUUUUGCCAGAGGUACAGAUUAUU
RNAcentral lists this long non-coding RNA (800 nucleotides) under Ailuropoda melanoleuca (giant panda). RNAcentral's name for it is "lncRNA (ENSAMEG00000028348.1)". Lineage: Eukaryota; Metazoa; Chordata; Mammalia; Carnivora; Ursidae. The record is from RNAcentral.